ACGCUGGCGGCACGCCUAACACAUGCAAGUCGAACGAAGUAGCAAUACUUAGUGGCAGACGGGUGAGUAACAUGUAGGUAUCUGCCCUUUGGCCUGGAAUAACACGAGGAAACUUGUGCUAAUACUGGAUAAGUCUUUACGGAGAAAGCUUUAUGCACCAUUGGAUGAGCCUGCACUUGAUUAGUUUGUUGGUGGGGUAAUGGCCUACCAAGACUGUGAUCAAUAGCUGAUUUGAGAGGAUGAUCAGCCACAUUGGGACUGAGACACGGCCCAAACUCCUACGGGAGGCAGCAGUGGGGAAUCUUGCACAAUGGAGGAAACUCUGAUGCAGCGAUGCCGCGUGAGUGAAGAAGGCCCUUGGGUUGUAAAGCUCUUUCGUCGGGGAAGAAAAUGACUGUACCCGAAUAAGAAGGUCCGGCUAACUUCGUGCCAGCAGCCGCGGUAAUACGAAGGGACCUAGCGUAGUUCGGAAUUACUGGGCUUAAAGAGUUCGUAGGUGGUUGAAAAAGUUAGUGGUGAAGUCCCAGAGCUUAACUCUGGAACUGCCAUUAAAACUUUUCAGCUAGAGUAUGAUAGAGGAAAGCAGAAUUUCUAGUGUAGAGGUGAAAUUCGUAGAUAUUAGAAAGAAUACCAAUUGCGAAGGCAGCUUUCUGGAUCAUUACUGACACUGAGGAACGAAAGCAUGGGUAGCGAAGAGGAUUAGAUACCCUCGUAGUCCAUGCCGUAAACGAUGUGUGUUAGACGUUGGAAAUUUAUUUUCAGUGUCGCAGGGAAACCGAUAAACACACCGCCUGGGGAGUACGACCGCAAGGUUAAAACUCAAAUGAAUUGACGGGGACCCGCACAAGUAGUGGAGCAUGUGGUUUAAUUCGAAGAUACGCGCAGAACCUUACCAACACUUGACAUGUUCGUCGCGACUCUAAGAGAUUAGAGUUUUCGGUUCGGCCGGACGAAACACAGGUGCUGCAUGGCUGUCGUCAGCUCGUGUCGUGAGAUGUUGGGUUAAGUCCCGCAACGAGCGCAACCCUCACUUUUAGUUGCCAUCAUUAAGUUGGGCACUCUGAAAGAACUGCCAGUGAUAAGCUGGAGGAAGGUGGGGAUGACGUCAAGUCCUCAUGGCCCUUACGUGUUGGGCUACACACGUGCUACAAUGGUAUCUACAACAGGAAGCAAGACGGCGAAGUUAAGCAAAUCCCUAAAAGAUACCUCAGUUCGGAUUGCACUCUGCAACUCGAGUGCAUGAAGCUGGAAUUACUAGUAAUCGUGGAUCAGCGUGCCACGGUGAAUGCGUUCCCGGGUGUUGUACACACCGCCCGUCACACCAUGGGAGUUGGUUCUACCUUAAGGCAAGGUUUUAAACCCUUGACCACGGUAUAGUCAGCGACUGGGGUGAAGUCGUAACAAGGUAGCCGUAGGGAACCUGCGGCUGGAUUACCUCCUUUCU
Molecule: ribosomal RNA, 1444 nt
Filed under: uncultured marine bacterium
Lineage: Bacteria
Description: 16S ribosomal RNA
Rfam family: Bacterial small subunit ribosomal RNA
Source: RNAcentral